AUGCCUUAAACUAAUGAGUAAGGAAAAUAACGAGUCCGGGUGACGCCGGCUCCUCACUGCUCAUGUGAGAGGAAUUUUUGGAUGGGUACAGGUCGCCCCAAGGAGGAUCUGCCAACUCUUCAGGAGCAGUGAUCUGCCCG
Molecule: small nuclear RNA, 140 nt
Organism: Bufo gargarizans (Asiatic toad)
Lineage: Eukaryota; Metazoa; Chordata; Amphibia; Anura; Bufonidae
Product: U12 minor spliceosomal RNA
Exons: 1
Source: RefSeq, a predicted model, not a curated record